This 302-nucleotide long non-coding RNA is filed under the name Capra hircus (goat). Its description in RNAcentral is "lncRNA (ENSCHIG00010015142.1)". The record is from RNAcentral. Lineage: Eukaryota; Metazoa; Chordata; Mammalia; Artiodactyla; Bovidae.
GGAAAUCACUUAGUAAGAGGAAAGGCAGACCUUUGCCCCGGCUCCACUCACAGGCUCAAAGCCCUCCAGAUGUUCCACAAGAUGGAAGCAAAACGUCUUUCCUGUCUGCAGCAUCUUUCUCUGCUCUAGCCAAGAGGAACCACACAGACUGCCUGGGACUACCUACAGCUUUUGAACUUUACCUCUCUGCUUGCCAAGAGCCCUCUAUGCCUGCUUCUCCAAACAUCUUAAUCCUUCUUGUACUUCAAGGUUCAACUGAAAUCUCAUCUAUUCUGGAAACUCUUCCUUCAUCAUCGAACUGA